CUCGCGCGCUGACGGAACGACGCUGCCCGAUUCCGGCGCGCAGGCGCUGGUUUAGCCGUUGCCGGCGGCUCGGCUGCGUGUUAUUUUGUGUUCGUCGCCGGCGUUUGCGUCGUGUCAGUUCCCGCUGAUUGCCUGGGUCUCUCUCUCCGCAGCGAGCCAUGUCCUCUCCCAGGAGCGCCUCCCCGCAGCAGCACGACGGGGCCGCAGGGUACGGCUCUGCCUUCGCGUCUGCACGCUCGGCCGCUUCCUCCUCCGCGUCGGACCGCGGCAAGACUUUGGCGGAUGCCCGCGUCUCCGAGGAAUUGGAGAUCGCGUUGGACCUGGCGCUGGAGCGGUUCUUGUACAGCGAUGAUCAAGAGAUGGCGUUUCCUUCGUCUUUUACUUCUACCGAAAGAGCCUAUGUUCACCGGUUGUGCCAGUCUCUUGGUUUGAUAUCUAAAAGUAAAGGAAAAGGAUCGAGUCGAUAUCUAACUGUCAGGAAAAAGAAUGGAUCGCAAGUAGCUCAUGCAGAAAUGACUUGUUGUUUGACUCCCAGAACGAAACAGGCUGUUCACAGUUUAAUUCAAAGAUUUCCUCUCACAAAGAAAGAACGAAUAGAACUUCUGCCAAAGAAGCAGCGAGGAAAUGCAUUUGCUGUUGAAACUGAAAACAAAGAAGUUGGGAAGACGAGCGGAAGGCUUAGCAGUGGUAUUCCUCAAGUCCCGCUGAAAAGAGGGGAGUCGGAAUAUGACUCCUUUAGGCAGUCAUUGCCAGUUUUUGACAAGAAGGAGGAAAUUGUCAAAAUAAUAAAGGAAAAUAAAGUUGUUCUCAUUGUAGGAGAGACUGGAUCAGGAAAAACUACUCAAAUUCCUCAGUUCCUUCUUGAUGACUGCUACGAAAAUGGAAUUCCCUGUCGUAUGUUUUGCACUCAGCCAAGACGUUUGGCAGUUAUUGCUGUGGCUGAAAGAGUGGCAGCAGAAAGAAGGGAAAAGGUUGGCCAGACAGUUGGCUAUCAGAUCCGAUUAGAAAGCAGGGUUUCUCCAAGGACACUGUUAACGUUUUGCACAAACGGCAUACUGCUUCGCACGCUGAUGGCAGGAGACAGUGCUCUAUCAACAGUAACACAUGUUAUUGUGGAUGAAGUAUACGAGAGGGAUAGAUUCAGUGAUUUCUUGUUAAUAAAACUGCGAGAUAUAUUGCAAAACCAGACUAAUUUAAAACUAAUCAUUUCUAGUGCUGCUCUAGAUGCAAAUCUCUUUAUUGAGUAUUUUGGAAGUUGCCCAGUAAUACACAUCCAAGGAAGACCAUUUGAAGUUAAAGAGAUGUUUUUGGAGGACAUUUUACGAAGCACUGGGUACACAAACAAAGAGAUGAUAAAAUACAGAAAGGAGAAGCAGCGAGAAGAGAAGCAGCAAAGCACUCUCACUGAGUGGUGUUCUGCUCAAGAAAGUAAUAGCAACCCAGAAUCACGGAGCAGAAGAUCUGUUGCAAGUGUAUCUGAAGAGUAUAAUCUGCUGGACAGCAGUGGUGACACAGUUUUUAAUGCUCUGGUUGAGAGAGAUGCAAGUUGUCUUGAACCAUGGCUAAUAAAAGAAAUGGAUUCUUGUCUUUCUGACAUCUGGUUACAUAAAGAUGUUGAUUCCUUUGCUCAGGUGUUCCAUUUCAUCUUAACCGAAAACGUCAGUGUUGAUUAUAGGCACAGUGAAACCAGUGCAACUGCACUAAUGAUAGCUGCAGGGAGAGGCUUUCUAAGUCAAGUAGAGCAAUUGAUCAGUAUGGGAGCAAGUGUCCACUGCAAAUCAUCCAAUGGCUGGAUGGCUUUAGAUUGGGCUAAGCACUUUGGACAAACAGAGGUGGUUGACCUGUUGGAAUCUUACAGUGCUUCAAUGGAAUUUGGAAAUCUGGAUGAAAGUUCUCUGGUCCAAGCAAAUGGUAAUGACCUUGGAACAGAGGACAGAGAGUUGUUGAAAGCUUAUCAUCACAGUUUUAAUGAUGAGAAGGUGGAUUUCGACCUGAUCAUGCACUUACUUUACAACAUCUGCAAUAGUUCUGAUGGGGGAGCAGUUUUAAUAUUUCUUCCUGGGUACGAUGAGAUAGUUAGCUUGAGAGACCGAAUUAUUUUUGAUGACAAGAGAUUUGUUGAUAAUGCGCACAGAUACCAAGUAUUCACACUUCAUUCAAAUAUGCAAACUUUGGAUCAGAAGAAUGUGCUUAAAACUCCGCCUUCUGGCAUCCGCAAAAUAAUUCUUUCUACUAAUGUUGCAGAAACCAGUAUCACAGUCAGUGAUGUUGUAUUUGUUAUUGAUUCGGGAAAGAUGAAGGAGAAGUCUUUUGAUGCUCUGAGUUGUGUUACAAUGUUAAGAACUGUGUGGAUUUCAAAAGCCAGCGCUAUCCAGAGAAGAGGGAGAGCUGGGCGCUGUCGGCCUGGAGUCUGCUUCCAUCUCUUCAGCAAGCUCCGAUUUCAGAAUAUGUUGGAAUUUCAGACUCCGGAACUUCGAAGAAUGCCGCUUCAGGAGCUUUGUCUACACACAAAACUACUGGCUCCAGUGAAUUGCCCAGUUGUUGACUUUCUCAUGAAAGCUCCUGAUCCUCCACCAGCUUUAAUUGUGAGGAACGCCAUACAAAUGCUCAAGAAAAUAGAUGCCAUGGAUGUUUGGGAAGACCUCACUGAACUUGGUUAUCAUCUUGCCGAAUUACCUGUAGAGCCACACCUUGGUAAAAUGGUGCUGUGUGCUGUUGUUUUGAAGUGCCUGGAUCCCAUUCUCACCAUUGCUUGCACUCUUGCGUAUCGAGAGCCUUUUGUUCUACCUAUGGUGGCCUCUCAAAAGCGUGCAGCUAUGCUGUGCAGAAAACGUUUAGCUGCAGGAACAUUCAGUGACCAUAUGGUGCUCCUCAGGGCUUUCCAGGCAUGGCAGAAGGCACGAAGUGAUGGCUGGGAGAGGGUCUUCUGUGAAAAAAACUUUCUUUCUCACGCUACAAUGGAAAUCAUCGUAGGCAUGAGAACAGAGUUACUUGGUCAGCUUAGAGCUUCAGGUUUUGUCAGAGCCAGAGGAGGUGCUGAUAUUAGAGAUGUUAAUGCUAACUCUGAAAACUGGGCUGUGGUUAAAGCUGCCUUAGUGGCUGGGAUGUACCCCAAUCUUGUGCAUGUGGACAGGGAAAACCUGGUUUUGACAGGCCCAGAAGAGAAGAAAGUGCGAUUUCAUCCUACGUCUGUUCUUAGCCAGGCUCAGUAUAAAAAGAUUCCGCCAUCAAAUGGGCAAGCUGCAGCUGUUCAGGCACUCCCUACUGACUGGCUUAUAUAUGAUGAAAUGACAAGAGCUCGCAGGAUAGCAAAUAUCAGAUGUUGUUCAGUUGUAACACCUGUCACUGUGGCACUCUUCUCUGGACCAGCUAGGUUACCACAUAAUGCUUUGGAAGAGCCUUUGUCCUUUCGAGGAAAUAGGGUAGCUAAUGAUGACAGCGAUAGUGGGAUGGAGGACGAAAGAUCCAAUGUGGCACUACUGAAGCUGGAUGAAUGGCUCCAUUUCAAAUUGGACUCUGAAGUUGCUGGUUUGCUGAUGCAACUCAAACUCAAGUGGCAUAGCUUACUUCUGCGCCGAAUGAGAGCUCCUUCUAAACCUUGGUCUCAAGCUGAUGAAAUAACUAUAAGAACAAUUGUAUCUGUUUUAAGUACUGAAGAACAGUUUGCGGGAUUGCUGCAGCCUUCAGGAGUUGGUCAGAGGCCAAGGCCUGUUUCUUACAAUGAACUUCCUUCAGCACCUACCUGGAGGUCAGCCAGCACCUCAGCAGAAAAUGAAUUAUCUGAUGAUUCCUCUAAUGCUGAAAAAGUUCUGAGGAAGUCUGCACAUCCAGCAUUUCAUCAGCCAAGGAGAUACAAAGACAAAAAUAUUUUGUCUUCCAAACGAACAUCAGAUGAGAAGUCAGAUCAGUCAUCAGUGAAAUCUCCAGGCAGCAGUUCCUGUCCUAGCCCACGUGCUAGUCCUUCUGCAAUGUCUGGAAAGUUUUUGUUCCAGAGAUUUGCUAGGAUGUCUUUAGAGAUACAGGCUUGGGGAGGAAUGGCUGGAAAGCUGCCUGAUGGAAAGGGACCUUGGUGUACCGCUGGACAGUGAGCUGAAUGUGAGCCACCUGUGCCCUGGUGGCCAAGAAGGCCGAUGGCAUCCUGGCCUGUAUGAGAAAUGGUGUGGUGAGCAGGAGUAGGGAAGUCGUCCUGCCCCUGUGCUCAGCACUGGUGAGGCCCCACCUCGAGUACUGUGUUCAGUUUUGGCAUCUCAGCACAGAAAGGACAUGGAGGUGCUGGAGCAGGUCCAAAGAAGAGCAGCAAGGCUUGUGAAGGGCUUGGAGAAUAUGGCCUGUGAGGAGAGACUGGAGGAGCUGGGGCUGUUUACUCUGGGGAAAAGGAGGCUGAGAGGAGACCUUACUGCUCUCUUGCAAUAUCUGAAAGGUGACUGCAGCGAAAGUGGGGUUGGUGUCUUCUCACUGGUGACAGGAGACAGGCUGAGGGGAAAUGGCCUCAAGUUGUGCCAGUGGAGGUUUAAGUGGAUAUGAAGAAAAACUUGUUUACAGGAAGGGUUGUGAAGCACUGGAAUAGGCUCCAGGGAGGUGGUUGUGUCACCAUGCAGGAAUGUAUUCAAGAACCGUUUGGAUGUGGUGCUCAGGGACAUGAUUUAGCAGAAGGUUGUUAGAGUGAUAUGGUUGGACUUGAUGAUCUUGAAGGUCUUUUCCAACCUGAUCAAUUGAUUCUGUGAUUCUAUGGCCAAUAGUUCUUCAGACCGAAAGAGUCUUAAGGAUCUUUACACAACUGUUCUCUAUUUAUGGCCGUGGUUCUACAAAGAGGCAACCUAUCACUUGUUUGCACUUUACUGAAUUAAGCUUAGAAUAGAGAGAAUAAUAAUCUUUGUUUUUAGAAAGGCACAGGAUAUGUGGUUGAGAUGUUCUUGUGUGUAGUGGUGGUCUGUUCAGUGAGAAUUGUCUUCUUAAAAAAUGGUGUCUUACUGUGGAUGGAAAGAAAGCUUGAACCAACUGGGCUGAUGUUUUGUCUUCUUUCAGCCCCAUUUAAAACAGACAAAAUCUUGUGCAGGGGGGUUCCAAUGUAUGUCUCAACAGCAAAGAGAAUGAGUUCUUCCAGAGAAACUGAAAGUAAUCGCCUUUAUCUGUCGUGUUCCAGGUAGUUUAAUACAGAACAGACUUGUCUAAUUCUCUGCUUAUUUCUAGGAGCUGGACCCGCAAAUUGGAGAGCAGUUGCUCCAGCUCUGGGAUCAUCCUACUUCAGCAGGAAAAAGCUCAACUGACAACGUAAAGUAAUAAAAUAGCACCCUGGGUGUCCAAAAUUACUUAAAGCCAGAAAUGUGCCUCCAGUAAGAAGAUGAGGAAGAAGAUGGUGCAACAAGGCCUGAAAGUGUUAGUGAUGCUGUGCAGCUGGCACUUGAAGAGUAAAAGGAAAUAAAGUGGACUGUAAUAUUUUUCAUGUAUUAACAAAAAUCUUAACGUUGUUCACCCGCCUGAUUUCAAGUGAAUUAUUUUUUUCUCAAGUAAAAUAUUUAGUGUGUAGGUGAUUUUCAGAAAUAGGGUUAAAUUAAGAACAAAAUCUGCCAUUGUGCUUACUGAGUUUUAAAUGGCACAGCAAGUACAGUUUGACCUGUUGAAGUACACAGUUACGUUCAAAGCUUUUUCAGCAUGAGUGGUGAAGAAACCAGUGUAAUAAUUGGUCUUGUGGGUUGUUGAAAUUGAACAAAUUUCCUUUACUAAAAUGAAUGAAAGAUUUCCUUAAGAAUUAGUUGACGUUGCAUGUGAGAAAUCAAUAUGUAUUCACACAAACAAUUGAGCAGCUGGAGAAUAUAGAAGUUCUCUGAAAUAUGUAAAUCAAAGGGAGCGUGAGACUCCUCUGAGAGUUGUCUUGUUUGAUGUCUGCUCCCAGUUUGUAGUUUUACACCUUGUUAAAGAUGAGCGUAGUUUACUAAGUCUCAGUUGCGUGGUAAUGGGUGAAAGUCUGUAGGGCCCCACUGUGGGCAUUCUUAGGAGGGGAUUUGGGUUCAUUAAAGAAAUAACUGCCUGCACAGCUUUCUUUGAUUACCGAGUUUCUCUUUACAGGUUAAGUUCUUGCUUUGUAAGAUUAGUGUCAAUUCACUCUAUUUGCUGUCAGCACGAUGUUUGUGGUUGAUGUUAAAAUAAACACAGAGCGUUUUCUGCCUCUGA
Molecule: RNA transcript, 6171 nt
Organism: Lagopus muta (rock ptarmigan)
Lineage: Eukaryota; Metazoa; Chordata; Aves; Galliformes; Phasianidae
Gene name: 3'-5' RNA helicase YTHDC2-like
Exons: 28
Source: RefSeq, a predicted model, not a curated record